This is a long non-coding RNA of Corticium candelabrum, 1646 nucleotides long. RefSeq lists it as uncharacterized. Lineage: Eukaryota; Metazoa; Porifera; Homoscleromorpha; Homosclerophorida; Plakinidae. The record is from RefSeq and is a predicted model, not a curated record. The transcript is spliced from 3 exons.
GUUGUUUCGCACACAGAAACCUGGUGCAAAUGCGUACAGAAAAGGAAAAACACACAACUACUUAAACCGCUAAAUGAAUAUGUUAGCUUAUUGUCAAUCUGCUGAAAAUAGACCAGCACAUAAUACUUUUUGUUUUGAAAUCUGCUACUACCUCACGAUAGAAAUCGUUUCUAUGUUUACCUGAUCAGCAUUUGACUACACAGGCUGCUACAUGAGACAGUCAGACAAUUAAACUAUGUAACAACAUGCUGAAAUGGUACAGACAUACUAUAGAAUACAAUGACACAUAUAGGCAAUGGUGAAAACAUUACAAGGACACAGUCAAUUUGAAGGAAUACAGUAAUGCAUAUCUGUAAUAAGAGUAUAUUGCAUUGUAAGGUGUUGAGGCACAAAAAUAUAGAAAAUUGUAAAAUAAACAAUCUAGUGUAUAUACAGUGAAAGCUGUACUAAGCAACUACAUGGGGACCCGGGAAUACAUGAAGUGGUCGCUUACAGCAGUUAGGACAGGUGUACAGUAAGGAAGCCUUGCACCUCCACACACCUUUAUCCCUGAAUGCCAAACCCAACAUACGGGACUUCCCACUCUGUUGUGUCCACACAACCCUUAUUUCAUGUGCUGCAAAUGAUUUCCUAUGGCUGCCAGCUGACGUUCCUUUCUAAGACAGCCAAAUGACUUUCACUUGGUCAGCCAAUCGCACCCCGCUCCCUUUAUGCAACUCCCUUUAUAGACUUCCGACCGAGCUAAGUGAGAUUAACACAGUACUUUAUGAAGCAUUAAGCGUCCUAACCGUACACCUAUAUGAGAAUAUUUGCGAAAUGAGACUAAUUGGGUAUGAAAUGGCAACAGCUCUUUGCAAAUGCAUGUGUGUCGGUGACACCUCUGGGCGGUGUUAGCAAAAUAUACCUAUCUUGUGGUCACUGUGAACAGGUGUUACUUGCUGUUGGGCAAUUGAAUUAGUUUUAACGUUUAGAGACCUAACUGCUCUACUAUUGGAGCGUACUCACUCGAGGUAUUGUUACGAUUGGCUUUAUUUUCUCCGCAGCCCGAUCGUCUACGCCCACCUCAGUAUUUGCAGAAGGAUUACGGCAUCUUGCUUAUUUCCAAAAUUCGCAAAAAACCUACGUGUUUAUCCAAUGUUUAGAAUAUUUUCGGUACACGUCAAAUAAUUUUUCAAGCCACGCCACAAGUUUUUUACAGUAGGGUGUUGUUCGAUGCCAUGGUUAUAUCGCGCGUUAGAAUGACGUACGAUAUUGGAGCAGACGGCUUGAAACGCAUUUCUUCGCUGUUGUCUAUGUAAAAGAUAGAAAUAUGUCGUCAGGGCUGGUGCAGUUUCGACUCCUGUGUAUCCAGUAAUCCAGACACUUCAUCGUUUAUACGACUAUGCGAAUACGAUUCAAGCAGGAUGUUUGCAACUGCCGUUUAUCAGAUCUUUCUCACGCCUUUACGUGUUGACAAAUGCAACUAAAAGGAGAGUAACUAGGUAAAAUGAUGUUUUGCUUACCUCCUUGUAAAUGGAAACAUGAUGUUUUCAGAAACAGUUUACUUCUAUGAAACAUACUUGGCUAUUAUCCGACUUUCUACGAAUUGUGGAUGGUUACAGCUCAUUGUCAAUUUGUUGACCUAUGUUUUCCAUAUUGUUUGAAUC